AUACGGAGGGGGCUAGCGUUGUUCGGAAUUACUGGGCGUAAAGCGCGUGUAGGCGGAUCGUUAAGUCAGGGGUGAAAGCCCGGGGCUCAACCCCGGAACUGCCCUUGAUACUGGCGAUCUAGAGUCCGGAAGAGGUGGGCGGAAUUCCCGGUGUAGAGGUGAAAUUCGUAGAUAUCGGGAGGAACACCAGUGGCGAAGGCGGCUCACUGGCCCGGUACUGACGCUGAGGUGCGAAAGCGUGGGGAGCAAACAGGAUUAGAAACCCUUGUAGUCC
Molecule: ribosomal RNA, 274 nt
Filed under: uncultured bacterium
Lineage: Bacteria
Description: partial 16S ribosomal RNA
Rfam family: Bacterial small subunit ribosomal RNA
Source: RNAcentral